CCCCGUUGCUGUUACUAUUGCUCCAGAUCCAAAUCGGCGGCGUAGAAAUGAAAAGCAGAAGAGCCACAUUCGGGCAGAAACAAGAUAGGAGUGUUUUUUUAUUUGAUUAAUCUGUCAAAAAGACGCGCUGGCGGUCCAUCUCGCCGAGCAGGAGUUUAUUUUCCAUGGGGACUGAACAGAUGGAGAAAUCGCUACGCAGAGCGGAAAGUCGGUAGCAACGGGUAGAAUGCCUUUGAAAAUGGAAGUUCUGAUUAUCUAACGCACUGAUCCACCAGAGACCACCUGGCUAACCUCUUUUACGUUAUACGUGGCCACCUGCGUGCUUCCAGCUGGAUUUGAAAGCAGUAGCAUUCACCCAUUGAAAUAUUUACAAGACUUCUUAUGGGAAAUAAAGGAUAGAAAGCAUCGGGAGAUACUGCAAAGACGGUGCCAGAAGAGAGCCAGAGGCUACAGAAGGACAAACAGCAUUUCCAGGAAGGAUCCUGUGUCAGAGAGGAUGGAAACUGAGUUAAGGCCAAGCCUUCCCUCUGGCUUCCUGUGAUCUCAGAAUUCAUUCCUCUGGACGCCUGAAGGCCACAAGCUCCACAGCUCUGUGAAGGCAUCUGCAGCAAGAGACAUGCCUGGAAAGAGGAAGGUCACAAGGCUGGUAGCUGAAAUUCUUCAAGAACUCCAAAGAGCUUUGGCUUAUUUCUUAAUUGUCUACACAUUACUGUUAGGAGGCUUCAUUUGUGCCGGACUGAUAUUCCAGAUGUUAGCUGCAGAGUAAGGACCACGCCCAAAAUGUGUUGUGCUUGAUGGGGACAACAAUGAAUUAAUGGAGGCCAUGCACAGCCUUCUUUUCCAUUUAUAAUGAAAACAACAAGCACAUCUGUAACUUGGGGCUCUUGCAGAUGGAAGUCCAGAUCCAUGAUGAUCUCAUGACACCACAACUGGACAGUUGCCCUUCUGAUGUUUCCCAGCAUAUCCCAAUGACUUGUCAUCUCUCCUCCAGUGAUGGAAGCCUGCUUAGGAGUGGUAGGGUUUUGCUGCUGUGAGUUCCAAUGGACAUCCUGUGCCGUUGAGGGGGUGGGGUGGGGAGAGAGUUUUAUGUACCCUGCCUCUUGCGCUUAACCCCACGAUGAAGUUCGGAGGCAGUGGUGCUUUGCCACCAUGUCUGGCAGAAAUGUUAGGGAUUCACUGUGCUUUGUUUUAAGGGGAGAAAGCAACAGUGAGUGGUAGGAGACAUCAGUUCCUAGAUAGUAGGUUGAGCCAUGCCAUUCUGUGGCAUAGCUGGGAGGGAGAGGGCUUCUUCGCUGCCUGUCAAUUCUCUGUGAGUGCUGUAGGCUUACAAGCCAUCCCAACUGUUCCAUUCAGGUCCAUCCUGUUUUCAAGUGAAAUUGGAGGGGUUGGGAGACAGAAAUGCUGAUCGUCUGGACGUUCCCGCAGGGGCAAAGAAUGAAAUCUGACAAAGUGAAGGUAAAAUAUAAAACCAGUCCACAAACCCAAGUGUUGUUCUUUCAAAGUUUGAGAAUAUUAGGGAGAUUUUUAGGCCAGGAAAUGCCCUGGACUUCCAAACUGAUGCCAUGCAGAAGGGUCUCUCUCUGUCUAAUAACCAACCAUUUCUCUAUUGGCAAGGAAAUCUACCACAAAACUGGGCUAUAGGUCUUGCCUCGGGGGAAAGGUUAUAUGAGAGAAUCUCAUUCACUUUGCUGUCUCCUUUUUACUAACAGCCACAUGGUACUAUUUAGAAUCUUUACCUAAUUGGCAAGGAUCUUCUGAUUGAUUGACUGAUUUGAAUUUAUUAGCUGCCCAACUCCAAUGAACUCUGGGAGGAUCUUUACUAGUGUAGAUAAUAUUUGCAGUGCAGAUGCAGUUUUAGUAUCCUUGACAGGGGACCACCUGGUCUCUGUUGAUAUCCCCUAGAAGAAGAACCCAUCACCUUCCAGGGCUACUUGUAACACGUUGACCCACUUUUUUUUUUAUUAGUGGGCAACCUUUCUGACAAGAUCAAGCUGGCCAGGGGUGUCUGUGGGGAUGUCUGUCAAAAAAGUCACGAUGGUGGCCAUGACCACGUGAUGGAAGCCUUGCGCCAUUUUAACAUACACUGAACAUGUUAAGGGGUGAGGCUUCGAUCAUGUGGUCAUGGCCACCAUUGUGACUUUUUUGACCCCUUCCUGCAGAUACCCCUGAAGCUGGCCUUGCUCCAUAUGAAUAAACUCGGGAGGCAGGGGGGAUGGUUCUAGCAAAAGUCAUUCUGUUUUGUUUUAUUUGCCAUUAUUAGAAAAAUAUCAAAUGGCAUAGAGGUAGGCUUAUCUAAAAAAGAAAACCUUUUUAAAUAUCCAGAAAUAUCCAGAGUGUGGGUUCUUUUACUUUAGGCAUGGAAAAGUCAUUUGUUUCCCCGCCCCCCCGAAAUCACUGUGAUUACCAACCAGAACUAUCAGUCAGGAGGGAAAAAAAUCUUUCCUUCCUGUUGCCUGUCCCCACCCUGCAGUGGGAAGAGAAACAAGCCCAUUUUUGUGUCCUUCCAAAUUCAGCAUAAUGGUCAAAACUUUAGAGGGAUUCAAAUUCAUAUCUGGUCACUUCCCAACAAGUCCUACUUGGAUUCAGAUAUUUCCUGAAACUCUCUGAAUCCAUUUGAUUCAGUAUAGCAUUUGGCUGGAUUUGAUAGACCUCCCUAAACAGGGUAUCCUGAAGGUACUUCAUCCCGUAAUAUUUUGCUGCGUGUCCCACUUGCAACUCAGUAUAAUUUUGCUUGCUGCAAAUCAGAAUCAGGAGAAUGCAAUUGUGUUGGCUAUUUAGGAGAAAGUGGUGACUUUGGGGGCAUCUUUUCAAGUGCCACAGUUCUUCCCCCUUUGAGUGGGCCAUCUAAAUGAGGUUGUUCUGCUCACAAGGAAGCUUCUUUACUGGCACUCCACGUGCUGUUACUAGAGCUGUUAGCAGCAAGAGAUCUUUCUUUCCUACUUAGUGUGAUUGCCCUUUGGCAGGGGUAGUCGUCGAUCUGGGCUGUAAAAAUCCAGGCAACCGCUAGAUGGCAUCAAGGAGCUACAGGAAAUUCCAAGUCUUUGCUGCCAUCUAGCAGUUGUCCGGCCUUUUGUAGUCCAGAUCUGGUAGCCCUAUUUCUUGGGCCUCUCCCCACUUGCAUGGCACAAACAUGUCCGGGCCAUCUCUUUUUCUCUUGAUGUCCUCACAAGGUUGUCUUCAUCUCGUCCUAAGAGGCAGAUAGGCUGAUGUUGUCUGCGAAAUCUCUAGGCUUUGUUACUCUGUAGGUUGGAGGAGAGUCUGGUGUCUGGCAGUGACUAGGAACAGAGCAUUAUAGGCAAGAUCAGGAUGGACCAUAAGGACAGCAGAUGUCAUGCUGGUAUAGCUUUCUGCCAACUCAAGUUGGGUGCACUUCAACUGAGAACUGGGCAAAAACCUUUUAAGGGGAAUGUACUUUUGAUUUGGUCGGUGCCAGUGAAUUCUGCAUGACUUGUGUCACAAGUUCUUUGGGCCUGUUUGUAGCUCUCUCUAAUUCAGUGUUUCUCAACCUUGGCAGCUUGCAGAUGUGUGGACAUGGCUGGCUGGGGAAUUCUGGGAGUUGAAGUCCACACAUCUGCAAGCUGCCAGGGUUGAAAAACGCUGCUCUAAUUCAUUUCUCUCCUGAGCUCAGAGAAAUGCAUCCUACGCAUCUGAAAGCACCAAGUAGCUAUUUCCCUUCGCUCAAGGGCUCACGACCAAGUUAGUGUUAUCCACCAGUCCUUGAGCCAGCAGAAAAAUGUGUUGGCAUAAAUUGUGUUGCCCCCAUGGUUGAUCUAUAUUCUGCCAUAACAAUCAGUCCAGCAAAUUAAGAUGCCUUUACUUCAGGGAGGAAUUAUGUCCACCCCAUUAGGUAAACCAGACCAGGAAAUCAAUACCACAUGAAGGCUAAAACUACUACAUUGAGUUUGGCUAUAAUAACAGAUCCUUGGAAGUCUGCAUCUCCUCCCCCCUCUUAUACUCCAGUGAUUUAGGGAGGUGUCUGCCUGAGCCACUUCCAAAUGUUAUCUCGUUCUGGACUUAAAAAAUGAAAAACUUCAUUUUGCACCAAGCUUGACUUGCCUGCUGGAAAACAACUACUAAUCACUCUUCUAAUGUGAGAAAGGGUGACUUUAAGCAGAUGUUCAGAAUGGUGGAUUUAGUCCUCUGUCAAAUUCCCUGAUCUGAGUGACAGAACUAAGAGAGGGACACAGAGUGAAGCAAAAGAAAUGCUCCCUAUGCCCCUGCUCUUUCAUCUCCUCCUCUACACCUAUUACUGAUCUAUCAGGCUACAGAAUUUCCAAACACAGGUCUAGCGUUCUUCUGGACGACCACUAAACCCAUGUUCAAAAUUAUUUUGACAACAGAGGGUCCAGGGCAAAGCAGGAGGGAGUGAUGGAUAGCAAGUGAGCUUCACCUUGUUUAGUGCAGCAAAAGGAUGGUAGUGCCAGUGGUGAGUGACAAGGGAACCCAGUUUUGACUUUAUAACUGGCAACAUCUGGAAGUAGCCUGGAACAGUCAAGGUGAACACAUGUCCUAGAGUAGACCUCCAGAAUUGGGAUUGGUUUGCCUUUAAUAACAGUUAUCACUGUGACACUCAGUGCUGCCCAAUGCGAAAUGGAUGGGCAAAAUGAUGCUCCACCGUCAACACUAGGGGGCACUUCUGUAGCUGAAGUGCAUUGCACAAAUAGUCCUAGGAACUUCAGCUCCAUUGAACUCAUCCUGAGAGCAUUGCACAGUGAGAGCCAUAAUAGUCACAAUCUUGCUCAAGUCCUCGGAGCAAAUAAAAGUAAAAGUAUGGCUGGGCAACCCCUUAUUAACAGAAGCCACAUAAAACCUGUAACGCACUCAGUAGUAAAAGAGCUAAUAACACACAGUUGGCAGAGCCUGGCUCUGUUUCCCAGUCUGCAGGUCAGGAUUGGCUCCUUCCCCUGACUGGGUCAGCAACCAAAUAGCCGGUGAAGCAAGUCAGGGCAUUUCCACAGCAAACCUUGUGCUGAGAUCAGAGAGUAAAUAUGACUUUGAAACUGGAACAGUGAAGGAUGACCAAGGAUGACUUCAAGCUGCCUCAGUUAUGGGCUGUGCGUGAGACUGGUUUCUGCACUAGUGGUUAGGAGCAUCACCCAGCCAUCCCUGAAGUGAUGUGAUUACUGUUAUUUUGGUACAAAGAUGGUUGGAUGACUCUAGUAGGUGCUAUAAAUUGCUAGUGCAGCAAUGUCAGGUAGAUACGGGAGAAAAAAUGUUGCUGAGGGACGUUUGUGGCAUGAUUAGGGGCAAUGAGCCCAAACCUGCCCUUAUCAAGCUCAGCUCCCAGUAAAUGCUCAUCAAGUAUGAUGCCCUUUCGUUUUUUUGAUAUCUGAAAAAGUUUGCUGGAGGCUGGUACCCACUGUGACUUUAGGUCCAUUUUAGGAAUCAGUAAAAAUCUACAUUCACGGUCUGAUUUUCCAUGCUACAUUUUUUUUCUCUGCAGCAGGCUAACUUGCACUCACUUCUGAUGCAGGAUGUCUUACUGAGCUGGCCAUUAUAGAUUAAGCAAAAAAGCAAAGUCAAAUUAUUUCACAGACCUGAUUGUACCUACCAAAUAUUUCCAGUUCAAAAUACAUUCAAGUCACUCAGUUGUAGGAAACGGAGAAAUACAGUACUGUGGCAUUUAGUAUCCCUAAUAUGCAAUUGACAUGGUCCAGAUACUUAACUUCUUAAUAUGAGACUUUAUGUCUGAUUGAUAUUCCUUUCAGUAUUGAAUCACAGAGGCAAUGAAACCUGUUUAUAAUUUUCAGCAAACUCUCCAAUUGUAUCUGUUAUCCACCGUAUUUUCCAAUCACUAUCUUAACUGUGCACAUUUAUCAGCAUUAACAAAAAUAACCAGAAGUCAUUUUAUGCUGUAAGUCAUUAAUCAUUUUUGGGCCUUACCUUCAGGUCAUGGUUAUAAAAAAUACCACAUGGAUAGUGCCUUAUCCAUAAUGACUAUAAAGCUCAUUUCAGGAUUCUCCCUGUUUAAUUUGGUAUGGGAACUAGUCUCACUCUUUUGUAUUCUAUAAGCUGGACUCUGGUUAGAACUUGGAUAGGAGACCACUUGGAAAUCUGUGCUAGACCGAAGGCAGGCAGGCAGGCAGGGCAAAUUACUUCUGUAUUGUUGUCAAGACGUGGUCUUACUUGUCCAAUGCUAAAGAGACUUUAUCCAUAAUACAUUUAUUAUUAAUGCACUGCAAAAGCAUUAAUGCUGUACAAAAAAUAAGUUAUGAAAAGGCAAAGUAAGUGGAUAUUUAAUACACAGAUUCCACCUCCUGGUUCCCCUAACGUUAUCCAAACCAUGGAUAAUUGUGGUCACAAAAGGCGGCCACAAAAGAUAAGGGGCUAAGCUUUCCUCUUAAUACCUGUCUGCUGUCUUCUGCUCCCCCCCCCAAUAAUUUGAGCAAAUUGGAGGGAAGGGUCCCUCUCUAUGUAUUUAUCUAUCAACACUGGUAGCUAGAAGAGGUUUUCCUGAAUGAAUUUUAAAGAUCUAUAAUAACUGGUGGAUACUAGAUGGUGACAUGCCAAUUAUUUGGAUCAAAGUUGGAGAAAAAGACCUCAUCCUGUACAAAAUCACCAGCCAAAAGUUAGAAAUGUAAGUAUGGUGGGGCAGGGGGAACCCUUGAGCAUCUCUAAGAAUACACUGUGUCCCUUUGAGGGAACUGAUGCUGUUUUAAAGACCAGAACUGUCUACCUGCGUGCCGUGUUAUGUAUAUUUAUAAAUAAAGAGCUAAG
This is a long non-coding RNA of Python bivittatus (Burmese python), 6717 nucleotides long. RefSeq lists it as uncharacterized. The record is from RefSeq and is a predicted model, not a curated record. Lineage: Eukaryota; Metazoa; Chordata; Lepidosauria; Squamata; Pythonidae.